UUCUUUUAGAAAUUAUUAAAAGUAAGUCCUGCUCAAUGAUAUUUAAAUAGCUGCAGUUUUGUACUAAGGUAGCAUAAUCAAUUGUCUAUUAAUUGUAGACUGGAAUGAAGGGAUAAAUAAUUAUGUAUUUUAUUAAAUUUAUUAAUUGAAUUUUAAUUUUAAAUUAUAAUGUUUAAAUAUAUCUUAGGGACAAGAAGACCCUAUAAAGCUUUGAUAUAUUAAUUUUUAUGUUUAUUUAUAUUGUAUAUUAAAUUGGGGUAAUUUUUUAUGAUUAAUUAUUAUAAGAUUAAAUAUAUAAUUAAUAUUUAUUAUUAGUUGAUCCAUUAUUAGUGAUUUUAUGAAUAAGUUACUUUAGGGAUAACAGUAUAAUUUUUAUUUUAUAGUUCAUAUAUUUAAUGAAGAUUAUAACCUCGAUGUUGAAUUAAUAUAAUAGUAUGGUGAAGAAGCUAUGUUUAUUAGACUGUUCGUCUAUUAAAUUAUUACA
This 484-nucleotide ribosomal RNA is filed under the name Pettalus sp. 266L. Its description in RNAcentral is "partial 16S ribosomal RNA". Lineage: Eukaryota; Metazoa; Arthropoda; Arachnida; Opiliones; Pettalidae. The record is from RNAcentral.